AUUGAACGCUGGCGGCGUGCUUAACACAUGCAAGUCGAGCGGUAACGCGGGGGCAACCCUGGCGACGAGCGGCGAACGGGUGCGUAAUGCAUGGGAAUCUGCCUGAUAGUGGGGGAAUAACCCGGGGAAACUCGGGCUAAUGCCGCAUACGACCUACGGGUGAAAGCGGGGGACCGUAAGGCCUCGCGCUAUCGGAUGAGCCCAUGUCGGAUUAGCUAGUUGGUAGGGUAACGGCCUACCAAGGCUACGAUCCGUAGCUGGUCUGAGAGGACGGCCAGCCACACUGGGACUGAGACACGGCCCAGACUCCUACGGGAGGCAGCAGUGGGGAAUAUUGGACAAUGGGGAAACCCUGAUCCAGCGACGCCGCGUGUGUGAAGAAGGCCUGCGGGCUGUAAAGCACUUUCGGUGGGACGAAAUAUGCCGGGCCAAUACCCCGGCAGGCUGACGUUACCCAAUGAAGAAGCACCGGCUAACUCUGUGCCAGCAGCCGCGGUAAU
RNAcentral lists this ribosomal RNA (500 nucleotides) under uncultured bacterium. RNAcentral's name for it is "bacterial SSU rRNA". It matches the Rfam family "Bacterial small subunit ribosomal RNA", at positions 29 to 524 of the family's 1533-position model. The record is from RNAcentral.